Molecule: ribosomal RNA, 431 nt
Filed under: Shigella sonnei
Lineage: Bacteria; Pseudomonadati; Pseudomonadota; Gammaproteobacteria; Enterobacterales; Enterobacteriaceae
Description: partial 23S ribosomal RNA
Rfam family: Bacterial large subunit ribosomal RNA
Source: RNAcentral
CCCAAGAGUUCAUAUCGACGGCGGUGUUUGGCACCUCGAUGUCGGCUCAUCACAUCCUGGGGCUGAAGUAGGUCCCAAGGGUAUGGCUGUUCGCCAUUUAAAGUGGUACGCGAGCUGGGUUUAGAACGUCGUGAGACAGUUCGGUCCCUAUCUGCCGUGGGCGCUGGAGAACUGAGGGGGGCUGCUCCUAGUACGAGAGGACCGGAGUGGACGCAUCACUGGUGUUCGGGUUGUCAUGCCAAUGGCACUGCCCGGUAGCUAAAUGCGGAAGAGAUAAGUGCUGAAAGCAUCUAAGCACGAAACUUGCCCCGAGAUGAGUUCUCCCUGACCCUUUAAGGGUCCUGAAGGAACGUUGAAGACGACGACGUUGAUAGGCCGGGUGUGUAAGCGCAGCGAUGCGUUGAGCUAACCGGUACUAAUGAACCGUGAGG